AGCUAUCAUCGACCUACUUUUAAAUUUCCUUCAACUGUUUCGAGGUCUUCAUCUAAUGAUCGUUAUAUAUUCAACGAUUUCCAGGUAAAAAACGGAGCUCGAUGCGAUUCUGGCAAACAUGGAAAAGCAAUUGGACAGAUUUUUAUUAAACAAAUAAGGUAUAUUUAUCUCUCCGAAAUGCUGAGAAUAUAAUGCGUGUAAAGUGCAUACACGUUGGCAUCUCAGUGUAAAGGGUUUAAUAUCUUAAAUCAUAAAAAAAAAUCGUUAUGGAUAUUUUGACCACAUGAAAGUAGCCAUAUGCACUUACAUGCCACCCUUAUAACAUGUUCACUUCUUGUAUUUCUUCAAAUCUUCAAAUCUAGCAAUUAUUAAUUCGUUUUAUAGUUAUCCACCUAAAUGCUUUACAACCGGUCUGUCGAUAAAACAAAAUGAAUUGUACAAUAUAUCGUUUUCGAAGAUAUCCAGCGAAAACCUGAAAUUUCAUUACUAUUUUUAAUAAAACUCGUGCUUUGUGCUCGUAAAGCGCAUAAGAACCCUUGAUUUAUACUUUUGCUCUUUCCAACGAUGUAAUUUCGUAUUUGUUGCAAACUAUACAAAGUUUAAUGGGGAGCAGAAGUUUUCCUUCGAGGCAUUACACGUGCUGUAAUCAAUUCGAGUGAAAUAUUAGUCGGGUGAUCGAGAGCUUCGAAUUUAUUUAAAAAAGCAUUUAUUAAAAUAAAUAAUUUAUAGCAACAAAUAAAUUUUAUGUCGGAACCAAAUAAUCCGAAUCAAAACGAAAUAUGUGAUAUUUUAUGGCGAUUUUAUUUUAAUAAUCUGCCCAUACUACUGACUUGAUUAUUAAUUAGCGGUGGGCUCUUGUGUGUUAAUUUUGUGACACAUAACAUAACGAAGUAUGAUUCCACAAUAAGGCUUCAUAUGCAACUAAUUCGACUAGACUUGCACAAAUUUUCUAUUUGUUCAAGUAAAUUAGAAUAUAACAGUUCAGGUUUCAUUUGUAAUUUCCACAUUAAUUAUAUUGCAAAUUCAUAACUUCCUGCUAAUUUUCAUUGGCCAAUUUUGACAACUCAAAAUUGAAUUAUCAUGUUUUGUUAAUACGUUAUUCGUCAUGAAAUUAAGUGAAAAGUAUCUAAAGCAAAUAAUGUAUUUUUAAAUAAUUACAAACGCAAUUGAUACUAGUUAAAGUAUGAAAAUCAACAAAUCGUGGGAGCAAAAUUGAAGGAAAUAAUGAACAAAAAAGUUGCAAAUAUUUAAAACAUUAAGAGCAAAUGAAAGGAAACAUGACAGUUUAAAAAAAUCAAUAUAAACAAUAAUUUUGAUAAUAAAAUGACAAAUAUAAAAAAUUUGCUCAGUGACAAUAAAAUUGUAAUUUACUUAAAAGGUGUAUGUAAAAAAGUAUGAAAAUCCCAUAUCAUUUAUCAUUUAAUAUAGCUGAUGCACCUUAAAGCGACCGUAAUGCAACCAAAUUCCGCAGGUAAUAUUAUAUCGCUUUGCGUUUACAGUAAAUGCAUCGAUUCGCAAGCGAACAAUGCCGGUAGAUUUGAAUAAUACCAUACCUAAUUUAAUACCAAAUAAUUUAAUAUAAAUUUAUUAUAGGUUUGGCACUAUUGCGAUCUGAACGGAGGCCAAGCAUCGUUUCUCUGCCCAAAUGGAACCAUCUUCAGUCAAGUCGCUUUAACCUGCGAUUGGUGGUACAAUGUUAAGUGCGCUUCCACUGCCCAACUUUACGUGCUAAAUGAGCGAUUGUACAAAUACAUUAUUCCACUUUCACCCAAGUUUCCCGAAGAUUAUAGCGGACCUCUAGUCGACAAGUACUUGGCCAUGAAGUUCCAAGAAAUGGAAGAAAAGCUUAGAAAGCAGAAAAAAGGCAAAGGAAAUGCUGAUGCAAAAGUAUCGGAAGAAACGGCUGAAAGUGAUGACACAGAAGAUGAUGAAGAUGAUGAUGACGAUGAAGACAGUGAUUCCUCAAAGGAAGAAUCCCAAGCUGUUGAAGAGACUGAAACCACAACUGCAACAAGCCAAACUCCAGAUGUAGCAACGAUUAUUAGCAGCAACACUCGGAAAUAAACUUCAGAACUAUUCCUGCAUCAAAUUGAAUGGUUCAAGUUCAAAUGAACAUUCCAAACAAUUCGCCUGUACAAAACAGUGACAAUCAAUACAUUUUAUUAUUUGUCUUCAAUUUUCCCUGACCAGAAACGAUUAAAAGUUUGCGUUACAUUCAACUGUACAUAAUUAAUCGUCCGAUUGUGUUUAAAUGUUUACGAACAGUUGGACACAUUGAGUGCAGUUAUAGAUGCUCAACUAGACGCAACCUUGUUUCAAUAAAUUAUUUUAAUUCAAAUAAAGUGACAUUUAAAUAGCACUCCAAAUGAUUACAAUUUGAACAAAUUGAAUAUAAUGAACUUACUUUAUAUAUGGAUACAAGUUUUUCGCAUUUAAAACGAUGAUAUUUGUAUGAAUUUUUGUUCUAAGAGUCUCAAGGAAAUUGUCCCGUUAAAAUGUCUACAUAUUAUUUACUUUAAAAGCUUAAUUGGGCUUUAUCGCAAAGUUUAUCAAUAAUAUCAUUUUUUUACAACAAUAUAAAGACUAACGAUUUUUGGGUCUCGAAUUCAUCUCACGGUAAACCAGCUCCACUAAGGAAGUAAAACUACAGAACAACGAAAAACUAAUUCGAAUUAAAAAUCAAAAUUUAAUUUCCAAGAAAAUCGAAUUUCAAAAGAUUAUCAGUUUAAAGUUAAAUUUAAAAAUCCGUUUCGUUCAAGGCAGAAUCCACGACUAAAAGUAAUCACAAUCAUUGUAAAUGCUUCUAAUGCUAAUGAAAGGAAAAUUAAACAGUGUUUAAAUAUGUACUAUUAAAUUUGGGGAAAAUAUAUCAAAUUUUAACAAUGACGCUCUGUAUAUAUGAAUUCAAGUUGAUAAGUAUUUUUAUUUAUUUAUUUUUGUAUACAUAAGCUGUUAAAAAAUUUGUUACUAUACAGUAAUUAUUGUAACAUGUACUUAAUUGUCAAUAGAAUUGUUCU
This is a long non-coding RNA of Dendroctonus ponderosae (mountain pine beetle), 3017 nucleotides long. RefSeq lists it as uncharacterized. The record is from RefSeq and is a predicted model, not a curated record. Lineage: Eukaryota; Metazoa; Arthropoda; Insecta; Coleoptera; Curculionidae. The transcript has 2 exons.